Molecule: ribosomal RNA, 252 nt
Filed under: uncultured bacterium
Lineage: Bacteria
Description: partial 16S ribosomal RNA
Rfam family: Bacterial small subunit ribosomal RNA
Source: RNAcentral
ACGGAGGGUGCAAGCGUUAAUCGGAAUCACUGGGCGUAAAGCGCACGCAGGCGGUUUGUUAAGUCAGAUGUGAAAGCCCCGGGCUUAACCUGGGAACUGCAUUUGAUACUGGCGAACUAGAGUAUGGUAGAGAGAAGUGGAAUUCCGCAUGUAGCGGUGAAAUGCGUAGAGAUGCGGAGGAACAUCAGUGGCGAAGGCGACUUCUUGGACCAAUACUGACGCUCAGGUGCGAAAGCGUGGGUAGCAAACAGG